AUUGAACGCUGGCGGCAUGCCUUACACAUGCAAGUCGAACGGCAGCGGACCUUCGGGUGCCGGCGAGUGGCGAACGGGUGAGUAAUUUAUCGGAACGUACCUUUCAGUGGGGGAUAACGUAGCGAAAGUUACGCUAAUACCGCAUAUCCUGUGAGCAGGAAAGCAGGGGAUCGCAAGACCUUGCGCUGAUUGAGCGGCCGAUAUCAGAUUAGCUAGUUGGUGAGGUAAAGGCUCACCAAGGCGACGAUCUGUAGCGGGUCUGAGAGGAUGAUCCGCCACACUGGAACUGAGACACGGUCCAGACUCCUACGGGAGGCAGCAGUGGGGAAUUUUGGACAAUGGGCACAAGCCUGAUCCAGCCAUGCCGCGUGAGUGAAGAAGGCCUCGGUUGUAAG
This 395-nucleotide ribosomal RNA is filed under the name uncultured bacterium. Its description in RNAcentral is "bacterial SSU rRNA". It matches the Rfam family "Bacterial small subunit ribosomal RNA", at positions 30 to 429 of the family's 1533-position model. The record is from RNAcentral.